GUACAGUUGUAUAUGUUAUCCGUAAGCAUGAUGUUAUUGUUAUCUGAAAUUUAUAUAUGGGUAGAGAAAUGCAUAUAGUUCCUAGGUUGAUAAAGGGGUACACACCAUCAGACUAUUUUCAACUAAACAUCACCCUCAAUACCUUCUAUAUUUUCUUUUGAAUUGCAGAGAAGUCGUCUGGCUCUGCAUUUCACAGAAUUACUUUCAUUAUGUGAUUCUAGGACACUGCCUGGGAGAGAAGCAACUGUGAAAUAUUUGAAAGUGGAAGAGAACGAUAAUCCUAAUAAGCUUGGUUGUCUGCAUUCCCAAGAGACAAACAGCAUUAGCAGGGUAGUCUUACCGACUCUUCUACAUAAUAGUGAAUAUAAUAACUUAAAAUGUUGAGAAGUCUGGGGUCAUUUAGUGGAGGAGCCAACAUUUUAUAUUACAAAAGCCCCUAAAAGUAUUAUUGCCACAUCAAUCAACAAUCAUGAUAAUCUUUAAAAUGAAGAAAAAAUUAUAUUGUAUUCAGAAUAAUUUAUUCAAGAAACUAGGGAGAUGUGUAUAAUCCAAUUAGGAGAAUAUCUUUUUUCAUUAAAACUUCAAACAUUCUGAAUCAAAAUCUUGUCGUGGGGGAGUCCAGAAAUGUAGAUUUGCUGGUUCACCCCUUCUCCCCACCAUUCUAAUAUCUAACCACAGCCAGGGUUGAGAACUACUGAUUA
This 701-nucleotide long non-coding RNA is filed under the name Callithrix jacchus (white-tufted-ear marmoset). Its description in RNAcentral is "lncRNA (ENSCJAG00000084137.1)". Lineage: Eukaryota; Metazoa; Chordata; Mammalia; Primates; Cebidae. The record is from RNAcentral.